Molecule: long non-coding RNA, 1759 nt
Organism: Syngnathus acus (greater pipefish)
Lineage: Eukaryota; Metazoa; Chordata; Actinopteri; Syngnathiformes; Syngnathidae
Exons: 2
Source: RefSeq, a predicted model, not a curated record
AUAAACAGAGUUGGUUUUCGCUCAUCAUUAAACUGCAGCGGCAUCAGUGGUAAAGAAAUAGUCUAUGCUUGUUGUGAGUAUUGUUAUGUAAUGUUUCCAGAUCAUUAUUACUAGUUUAUAGCUGGGCUCCAUAUGUACGUCACUCUGUGCUGAUCGUGUAAUGGAGUGGCUUUUUUGGACCACCUCUCCCAUGUGCGUUAAAUCCAGAGGCCGGCCUAAUCCUCCGCUGACACCGUUGCACACACGAACCGUUCAUCGGCGCCACGCAUGUGAACAACUUACGCAAUGACGCUGUAUAUAUCUGGACGACCUGACCCGUCCAGGUGAGUGACUGCAGUGCAAAUGUGAGACGAGGAGACGAGGCGAGUGUGCCUUUUGGACACACACAAACCGAACCUGAGGGCCAGGGAGAGCACUUUUGCCCGUUUGAAGCAGUCGGGGACGAGCAGGCAUGUUUUUCUUCCGCAUCCCUCGACUGACCCCGGGAUACAUUCGAUACCUCCAGACCCAGGCGGUCCUGCAGAGCCGGGAGGGUCCGGCAAUGCCCCGCCUGGCGUUCCUGCUGGGAUUGAUGGGGGUGAGCGUGUCCGGCUACAGCUCUCGCCAGCUGACGCUGCACUGCAAGCCUGCCGCUCGGCUCUUCAGAUGAACAAGAGGGACGGACGAGGUCGAUGGAUGGCGACCGUCGACGGCAGUACUGCCACCGAAUUUGCUGGCUCUAUCGUCUACAUGAAAACUUUAGAUGACAACAAUUUCAAGUAGCUAACAGAAACAUCAUCCUAUUAGAUUCAGUGGGCCACAAAAGCAAAAUGUAAUAUUUUUGGGGCGACUGCAAUUGUUUUUUUUUUCGUGGGGGGGGGGGGCAGAAACCUGCACAUGAGAUGAUUGCACAUAUCACUUUGACACGCUGAAUGAGAUUAGUCGACAACGACGACAACGGGCGACUGCUAUCGUCUUGAGUGGUGACCUGAACCGGGCGAUAUCUGAGUGAAAAGUCGCCCACGUCAAAGAAGCUGAGCGGAAAGUGUUUUGUGUUUUUGUUAGCGUAGGAACGUAGCGGUGACCAGGCGUGUCAAUCAACGCUUUGGGACGAGAUUAGCCGGGAAGGAGGCCGGCCAGAUCCUCUUAGCAAACAUCCGCUGACAUGCGGCAGGUUAGAGGUCACUCACCCUGACGUUGAAAAAAGAAUUCAAAUUUAAUGUCAUAUUCCAAAACUAAAGAUUUGGGAAAUAGUCCUACAAAAAAAAUUCCUAUAUUCUGGGAAUAUUAGGAAUUUGAUUUAAAAAAAGGGAAAAUAUUGUACAGUUCAGAAAAUGGAUGGCUCCAACGCUCGAAAGUAACCUGUAUACAAGUCAAAAGCAAGUAAACCUGUUGACCACAGCAUCAUCUGCUGGCUCAGAUGGGACAUUACCUCUUGCCCCGAUGCAAAACGUUGCCACUGCUACUCACUAAUGAAACGAAAACAAAGACAAAUAUUUUCCAACUAGAUUCCCUUGCAAAACGCUUUUCUUUUUGCCAACGUCAACAUUGGCCUGCGCCUAUUUUGACACGGUGUCGCCGUGACGUGAUUACGGUCACAGAAAGGUCGGUCGGUCGGUCGCUGCCGCUUUCCGAUCCGAUUGUGCUGUGUCGCAAACGCCGAUAAGGUCAGUUGACGCAACUUAUCUGUUUGUUUAAAGGCUGAUAAGGAACAGCAGAAAUAUGUGCUUAGCCGUCGUUUCGUCUGGAUGCAAAAACGGGCCACGGAGGGAGGUUUCGG